RNAcentral lists this ribosomal RNA (379 nucleotides) under uncultured eukaryote. RNAcentral describes it as "partial 18S ribosomal RNA". It matches the Rfam family "Eukaryotic small subunit ribosomal RNA", at positions 592 to 976 of the family's 1831-position model. The record is from RNAcentral.
CAAUAGCGUAUAUUAAAGUUGUUGCGGUGAAAAAGCUCGUAGUUGGAUUUCUGUUGAGAGCGACCGGUCCAUACCAUGUAUGCGUAUCUGGCUUGCUCUCGGCAUCCUCUCGAUAGACGUUACUGCGCUUGAUUGCGUGGUGCGGAUCUCGGGACUUUUACUUUGAGGAAAUUAGAGUGUUCACGGCAGGCUUUCGCCAGAAUACAUUAGCAUGGAAUAAUACUAUAGGAUCUUGGUUCUAUUUUGUUGGUUUCUAGAAUUGAGAUAAUGAUUAAUAGGGACAAUUGGGGGCAUUCGUAUCAACACGUCAGAGGUGGAAUUCUUGGAUUGUGUUGCGACGAACUACUGCGAAAGCAUUUGCCAAGGAUGUUUUCAUUGA